GAUGAACGCUAGCGGCAGGCCUAACACAUGCAAGUCGAGGGGUAGAGUUAGCUUGCUAACUUGAGACCGGCGCACGGGUGCGUAACGCGUAUGCAAUCUACCUUGUACAGAGGGAUAGCCCAGAGAAAUUUGGAUUAAUACCUCAUAGUAUCUUUACCUGGCAUCGGGUAAUUAUUAAAGUUCCAACGGUACAAGAUGAGCAUGCGUCCCAUUAGUUAGUUGGUAAGGUAACGGCUUACCAAGACAAUGAUGGGUAGGGGUCCUGAGAGGGAGAUCCCCCACACUGGUACUGAGACACGGACCAGACUCCUACGGGAGGCAGCAGUGAGGAAUAUUGGUCAAUGGACGCAAGUCUGAACCAGCCAUGCCGCGUGCAGGAAGACGGUCCUAUGGAUUGUAAACUGCUUUUUAANACAGGAAGAAACAACUCUACGUGUAGAGUCUUGAC
RNAcentral lists this ribosomal RNA (448 nucleotides) under uncultured bacterium. RNAcentral's name for it is "bacterial SSU rRNA". It matches the Rfam family "Bacterial small subunit ribosomal RNA", at positions 28 to 473 of the family's 1533-position model. The record is from RNAcentral.